Molecule: ribosomal RNA, 253 nt
Filed under: uncultured bacterium
Lineage: Bacteria
Description: partial 16S ribosomal RNA
Rfam family: Bacterial small subunit ribosomal RNA
Source: RNAcentral
UACGGAGGGUGCGAGCGUUAAUCGGAAUUACUGGGCGUAAAGGGUGCGUAGGCGGUUUAAUAAGUUAUGUGUGAAAGGACUGGGCUUAACCUGGUAGUGUCAUAUAAUACUGUUGAACUGGAGUAGCGUAGAGGGCAGUGGAAUUUCCGGUGUAGCGGUGAAAUGCGUAGAUAUCGGAAGGAACACCGGUGGCGAAGGCGGCUGCCUGGACGCAUACUGACGCUGAGGCACGAAAGCGUGGGGAGCAAACAGG